AUGUUCUUCUUUCUUCAAGGUGUCCUGUCACAGAUAACACUGACUGCGUCUGGACCAGGUGUCCUGAAGCCUUCACAGAACCUUUAUCUGACCUGUAGUGUCUCCAAUUUUCUGAACAAUUACUAUUACCACUGGAUUCGUCAACUGCCUGGAAGAGGUUUGGAAUGGUUGGCACGAAUAGAUAAAGGUGGGGCUGCUGUCUACUCACAGUUACUGAGAAGUGGACUGAUAAUUACAAUAAACAUCUACAAGAAUGAAUUCUACCUGCAAGUGACAAAUAUAAAACCUGAGGACUCAGGGACAUAUUACUGUGCAGCGAACACAGUGAGAAAGAGUAGCAAGAAAUCAGGAAAAUACCACAUGAUCUAA
Molecule: non-coding RNA, 369 nt
Organism: Bombina bombina (fire-bellied toad)
Lineage: Eukaryota; Metazoa; Chordata; Amphibia; Anura; Bombinatoridae
Source: the annotation of a RefSeq genome assembly